CCCUUCGAUGUUCGGAGCUGCACGCGCGCUACACUGUGGGUGGCAGCAUGUUAGCUUGCCUCGCUCGCAAGAGUGGGGUAAUCGUUUGAAAAUCCCACGUGAUUGGGAUAGGGACUUGUAAUUAUUUCCCUUGAACGAGGAAUCCCUAGUAAGUGCAGGUCAUAAGCUUGCGUUGAUUACGUCCCUGCCCUUUGUACACACCGCCCGUCGCUACUACCGAUUGAACGUUUUAGUGAGGUACUCGGACUGAGCCUCAGAAGAUUCACGUCUUUUGUGCUGCUCGGGAAGAUUCCCAAACUUGAGCGUUUAGAGGAAGUAAAAGUCGUAACA
RNAcentral lists this ribosomal RNA (330 nucleotides) under uncultured eukaryote. Its description in RNAcentral is "partial 18S ribosomal RNA". It matches the Rfam family "Eukaryotic small subunit ribosomal RNA", at positions 1470 to 1796 of the family's 1831-position model. The record is from RNAcentral.